CAGUAGCCGCGGGAAUACAGAGGGUGCGAGCGUUAAUCGGAUUUACUGGGCGUAAAGCGUGCGUAGGCGGCUUCUUAAGUCGGAUGUGAAAUCCCUGAGCUUAACUUAGGAAUUGCAUUCGAUACUGGGAAGCUAGAGUAUGGGAGAGGAUGGUAGAAUUCCAGGUGUAGCGGUGAAAUGCGUAGAGAUCUGGAGGAAUACCGAUGGCGAAGGCAGCCAUCUGGCCUAAUACUGACGCUGAGGUACGAAAGCAUGGGGAGCAAACAGGAUUAGAUACCCCAGUAGUACCUGUCUCUUAUAC
RNAcentral lists this ribosomal RNA (301 nucleotides) under uncultured bacterium. RNAcentral's name for it is "partial 16S ribosomal RNA". It matches the Rfam family "Bacterial small subunit ribosomal RNA", at positions 509 to 807 of the family's 1533-position model. The record is from RNAcentral.